RNAcentral lists this ribosomal RNA (2262 nucleotides) under Klebsiella pneumoniae. RNAcentral describes it as "bacterial LSU rRNA". It matches the Rfam family "Bacterial large subunit ribosomal RNA", at positions 422 to 2671 of the family's 2925-position model. Lineage: Bacteria; Pseudomonadati; Pseudomonadota; Gammaproteobacteria; Enterobacterales; Enterobacteriaceae. The record is from RNAcentral.
ACACGUGGUAUCCUGUCUGAAUAUGGGGGGACCAUCCUCCAAGGCUAAAUACUCCUGACUGACCGAUAGUGAACCAGUACCGUGAGGGAAAGGCGAAAAGAACCCCGGCGAGGGGAGUGAAAAAGAACCUGAAACCGUGUACGUACAAGCAGUGGGAGCACCUUCGGGUGUGACUGCGUACCUUUUGUAUAAUGGGUCAGCGACUUAUAUUCUGUAGCAAGGUUAACCGUAUAGGGGAGCCGCAGGGAAACCGAGUCUUAACUGGGCGUUAAGUUGCAGGGUAUAGACCCGAAACCCGGUGAUCUAGCCAUGGGCAGGUUGAAGGUUGGGUAACACUAACUGGAGGACCGAACCGACUAAUGUUGAAAAAUUAGCGGAUGACUUGUGGCUGGGGGUGAAAGGCCAAUCAAACCGGGAGAUAGCUGGUUCUCCCCGAAAGCUAUUUAGGUAGCGCCUCGUGAACUCAUCUUCGGGGGUAGAGCACUGUUUCGGCUAGGGGGUCAUCCCGACUUACCAACCCGAUGCAAACUACGAAUACCGAAGAAUGUUAUCACGGGAGACACACGGCGGGUGCUAACGUCCGUCGUGAAGAGGGAAACAACCCAGACCGCCAGCUAAGGUCCCAAAGUCAUGGUUAAGUGGGAAACGAUGUGGGAAGGCACAGACAGCCAGGAUGUUGGCUUAGAAGCAGCCAUCAUUUAAAGAAAGCGUAAUAGCUCACUGGUCGAGUCGGCCUGCGCGGAAGAUGUAACGGGGCUAAACCAUGCACCGAAGCUGCGGCAGCGACACUAUGUGUUGUUGGGUAGGGGAGCGUUCUGUAAGCCUGCGAAGGUGACCUGUGAGGGUUGCUGGAGGUAUCAGAAGUGCGAAUGCUGACAUAAGUAACGAUAAAGCGGGUGAAAAGCCCGCUCGCCGGAAGACCAAGGGUUCCUGUCCAACGUUAAUCGGGGCAGGGUGAGUCGACCCCUAAGGCGAGGCCGAAAGGCGUAGUCGAUGGGAAACAGGUUAAUAUUCCUGUACUUGGUGUUACUGCGAAGGGGGGACGGAGAAGGCUAUGUUAGCCGGGCGACGGUUGUCCCGGUUUAAGCAUGUAGGCUGAUUGUCCAGGCAAAUCCGGAUAAUCAAGGCUGAGGUGUGAUGACGAGGCACUACGGUGCUGAAGUAACAAAUGCCCUGCUUCCAGGAAAAGCCUCUAAGCAUCAGGUAACAUCAAAUCGUACCCCAAACCGACACAGGUGGUCAGGUAGAGAAUACCAAGGCGCUUGAGAGAACUCGGGUGAAGGAACUAGGCAAAAUGGUGCCGUAACUUCGGGAGAAGGCACGCUGGUGUGUAGGUGAAGUCCCUGCGGAUGGAGCUGAGACCAGUCGAAGAUACCAGCUGGCUGCAACUGUUUAUUAAAAACACAGCACUGUGCAAACACGAAAGUGGACGUAUACGGUGUGACGCCUGCCCGGUGCCGGAAGGUUAAUUGAUGGGGUUAUCCGUAAGGAGAAGCUCUUGAUCGAAGCCCCGGUAAACGGCGGCCGUAACUAUAACGGUCCUAAGGUAGCGAAAUUCCUUGUCGGGUAAGUUCCGACCUGCACGAAUGGCGUAAUGAUGGCCAGGCUGUCUCCACCCGAGACUCAGUGAAAUUGAACUCGCUGUGAAGAUGCAGUGUACCCGCGGCAAGACGGAAAGACCCCGUGAACCUUUACUAUAGCUUGACACUGAACAUUGAGCCUUGAUGUGUAGGAUAGGUGGGAGGCUUUGAAGCGUGGACGCCAGUCUGCGUGGAGCCAACCUUGAAAUACCACCCUUUAAUGUUUGAUGUUCUAACGUUGGCCCCUUACCGGGGUUGCGGACAGUGUCUGGUGGGUAGUUUGACUGGGGCGGUCUCCUCCCAAAGCGUAACGGAGGAGCACGAAGGUUAGCUAAUCCUGGUCGGACAUCAGGAGGUUAGUGCAAUGGCAUAAGCUAGCUUGACUGCGAGCGUGACGGCGCGAGCAGGUGCGAAAGCAGGUCAUAGUGAUCCGGUGGUUCUGAAUGGAAGGGCCAUCGCUCAACGGAUAAAAGGUACUCCGGGGAUAACAGGCUGAUACCGCCCAAGAGUUCAUAUCGACGGCGGUGUUUGGCACCUCGAUGUCGGCUCAUCACAUCCUGGGGCUGAAGUAGGUCCCAAGGGUAUGGCUGUUCGCCAUUUAAAGUGGUACGCGAGCUGGGUUUAGAACGUCGUGAGACAGUUCGGUCCCUAUCUGCCGUGGGCGCUGGAGAAUUGAGGGGGG